GACGACGUACUUCAUAGGAUCAUAUCUAUAGGUCACGUCCUUCUUUGAGCUCUUCUAAAGAGCCACAGAAUCCAACUUGGUUGAUGAGAUAGAUACCUGCACACCCUAGAGUGAGAAUUAUGUUUGUUAGGUUGUUGUCUUCGGACAUCACCUUCUUGCGAAGCCUUUGUAUAGAAUCACGGAUGUUUUCAUUUAUGAUCUUAUCCAAGACGUCUUUGAAGGAGCGAUGAUCUUGACCCUCUAUAUGUGCUUCCUCGGAAGAGUUAUAUUGGGUGGGUGUGUAUGGCUGUCUGACAAGU
Molecule: small nucleolar RNA, 299 nt
Filed under: Sugiyamaella lignohabitans
Lineage: Eukaryota; Fungi; Ascomycota; Dipodascomycetes; Dipodascales; Trichomonascaceae
Description: Candida lignohabitans Fungal small nucleolar RNA U3
Rfam family: Fungal small nucleolar RNA U3
About the family: Small nucleolar RNAs (snoRNAs) are involved in the processing and modification of rRNA in the nucleolus.
Source: Rfam by way of RNAcentral